ACUCCUACGGGAGGCAGCAGUGGGGAAUAUUGGACAAUGGGCGAAAGCCUGAUCCAGCCAUGCCGCGUGUGUGAAGAAGGCCUUUUGGUUGUAAAGCACUUUAGUUGGGGAAGAAAGGGCUGUGGUGAAUAGCCAUGGCAGAUGACGUUACCCAAAGAAUAAGCACCGGCUAACUCUGUGCCAGCAGCCGCGGUAAU
This 197-nucleotide ribosomal RNA is filed under the name uncultured bacterium. Its description in RNAcentral is "partial 16S ribosomal RNA". It matches the Rfam family "Bacterial small subunit ribosomal RNA", at positions 335 to 524 of the family's 1533-position model. The record is from RNAcentral.